AGUAGAAUAACUGGAUCAUAUGGUAGUUCUAUUUUCAGUUUUUGAGGAACUUUCAGACUGUUCUCCAGAAUGGCUAUAGUAAUUUACAUUCCCACCAGUGU
RNAcentral lists this microRNA precursor (101 nucleotides) under Marmota monax (woodchuck). Lineage: Eukaryota; Metazoa; Chordata; Mammalia; Rodentia; Sciuridae. The record is from RNAcentral.